GGCUUUUCGGUUUUCCUUGUUCUCCUCAACCCCUGAAAUCUUCCAUAACUGGUUUCAUAGCCCUACAAUAUUGUUUUCGAAAUUUCAAUACGGAUUGACAAUUGAGAAGUCGAGUGUCUAAUGCGCAACUUUUUACAAGAUUUCACUCGGUUUUGUGAUAAUUGGCAUUUUUGCGUGGUUCAACAUUUCAAAUUUUUCUUCGAGUUCAUUGUGUUGAAGCCCUUGAAACUCCAAUUGUGGGCAAAUACAAGUAUAGUGGAUUUGUCUAUCGCAAAUGGAAGCAGAUGCUAAGAGUAGAUAUUGAGCCGACAAUAAGGAAAACCUACAGAAUGGAGAGGCCAGGAGGUUUGGCUGUUCAGAAAGGAAAUGUCUUAUCUAAAGUCCCUUUACUACAUCUGCAUUGUAGGGAGCUUGUUCUCCUAAUAUUGUCAAAUUUAUUGAGCUUCAUGGUCGAAAAAACGAUGAAACACUUCAAUUAUAGCUCAAAACCAGAUCUCCUCCGGUUUGUGUCCUUCUGGGUGUGAAAAUACUAUGAUAGAAUUUCAUUAUGAUGAUGAAGUUCAUUUCAAAA
Molecule: long non-coding RNA, 571 nt
Organism: Solanum lycopersicum (tomato)
Lineage: Eukaryota; Viridiplantae; Streptophyta; Magnoliopsida; Solanales; Solanaceae
Source: RefSeq, a predicted model, not a curated record